UACGUAGGGGGCAAGCGUUAUCCGGAUUCAUUGGGCGUAAAGCGCUCGUAGGCGGUCUGUUAGGUCGGGAGUCAAAUCCGGGGGCUCAACCCCUGUCCGCUCCCGAUACCGGCAGACUUGAGUUUGGUAGGGGAAAGUGGAAUUCCCAGUGUAGCGGUGGAAUGCGCAGAUAUUGGGAAGAACACCAGUGGCGAAGGCGGCUUUCUGGGCUAUAACUGACGCUGAGGAGCGAAAGCUAGGGGAGCGAACA
Molecule: ribosomal RNA, 250 nt
Filed under: uncultured prokaryote
Description: partial 16S ribosomal RNA
Rfam family: Bacterial small subunit ribosomal RNA
Source: RNAcentral